Long non-coding RNA from Orbicella faveolata, 942 nucleotides. NCBI's taxonomy places the organism in Eukaryota, Metazoa, Cnidaria, Anthozoa, Scleractinia, Merulinidae. The record is from RefSeq and is a predicted model, not a curated record.
UGCAGAUACAUGUAAUGUAAAACAUGUAGGCAGGCCUGAGUAACAAACAGUUUCUUAACGUAGAACUUUUUCGUUUUGAAAUAUCACAACACAUCCCUGUAUGGAAAAAAGCUUUAUGGGCUUGUUUGAAAGCUAUACUGCCCUCACAUCACAAGUUGUUCCUUAAUGAGCAAUGCCUCAUAACACCUUUUCAUAAUUUAUUGUCCACGUUCAGUGGCUUACAGCAACUUUGUUUAAUUAAUGCACUAUUACUGUAUUAUAGGAUCCAAAAUAGUUGGGGAAAUUUUUGUUUUUCAAAAUCAGGGAAAGUUCAGGGAAUAAAUGGAGAAAAUGGGAAGGUUCCCUUUUGUACCGUACCUUUGAAAAAAAAAACUAGACCAAACUACUGAACUAACUCCAUGCAAAUUAAAAGGUACAGUACAACACACUUUCAAUAAGUGACCACCAAACUAACUAAGAACAGGCAUUGCUCUUAUACGAAAAACUACACACCCCUACAGUAGUCGCUACGGUAUUUCUUGACCUCAACAGAACUCACAUGACGUUCUUUAACCAGCCUCAACACAAACUUCACCUGAAGUAAACCAGUUGAAUCAGACCAUAACUGAUCAGUCACUGAUUACUACCUAUUCAUAAUGGCUUGACAGGUUCUCAAAGCAUCAUUGCUUUUACAUGUACACUAGACAAACUACUUAAUGAUACUUGUCCACUUUUUUUCUUUGUGGUUGGCAACUUGACAGUUCUUCCUUUGGGUACCUCAGAAUGGGACAUACUGUAAUGACUUCCUCAAUGCCCACCAUCCCUCCUCCCCCCUUAUUCUCCAACCAUGAUUCACUAUUUCCCAGGGUUCCCCAGGUUAAGGAUUAGUUUUGAGUUGAUCAUUGCAUUCCUUGAUGUAAACCAAGUUCUGCUUUUAAUUUUGAAAUACCACAGACAUGUAAA